RNAcentral lists this ribosomal RNA (253 nucleotides) under uncultured bacterium. RNAcentral's name for it is "partial 16S ribosomal RNA". It matches the Rfam family "Bacterial small subunit ribosomal RNA", at positions 524 to 776 of the family's 1533-position model. The record is from RNAcentral.
UACGUAGGGGGCAAGCGUUGUCCGGAUUUAUUGGGCGUAAAGCGCGUGUAGGCGGCCACACAGGUCCGCUGUGAAAACUCGAGGCUCAACCUCGAGCUGUCGGUGGAAACCGUGUGGCUAGAGUCCGGAAGAGGAGACUGGAAUUCCCGGUGUAGCGGUGGAAUGCGCAGAUAUCAGGAGGAACACCGAUGGCGAAGGCAGCUCGCUGGGACGGUACUGACGCUGAGGCACGAAAGCGUGGGGAUCAAACAGG